RNAcentral lists this ribosomal RNA (490 nucleotides) under uncultured bacterium. RNAcentral describes it as "partial 16S ribosomal RNA". It matches the Rfam family "Bacterial small subunit ribosomal RNA", at positions 36 to 507 of the family's 1533-position model. The record is from RNAcentral.
CUUUCCCUCUUUCUUCAGGCCUAACACAUGCAAGUCGAACGGUAACAGGAAGCAGCUUGCUGCUUUGCUGACGAGUGGCGGACGGGUGAGUAAUGUCUGGGAAACUGCCCGAUGGAGGGGGAUAACUACUGGAAACGGUAGCUAAUACCGCAUAACGUCGCAAGACCAAAGAGGGGGACCUUAGGGCCUCUUGCCAUCGGAUGUGCCCAGAUGGGAUUAGCUAGUAGGUGGGGUAACGGCUCACCUAGGCGACGAUCCCUAGCUGGUCUGAGAGGAUGACCAGCCACACUGGAACUGAGACACGGUCCAGACUCCUACGGGAGGCAGCAGUGGGGAAUAUUGCACAAUGGGCGCAAGCCUGAUGCAGCCAUGCCGCGUGUAUGAAGAAGGCCUUCGGGUUGUAAAGUACUUUCAGCGGGGAGGAAGGGAGUAAAGUUAAUACCUUUGCUCAUUGACGUUACCCGCAGAAGAAGCACCGGCUAACUCCGUG